GAAUAGAGGCGCGGGCUUUAUGAUAAACGCAAAACGGGGCUUUCGGUUUUGCGCGGGAAAGGAAAGCUCGCCGAAGAGAAAGAUUUUCCCCAAAAUCUUUUAUCUGGGCGCAAGCGGAAUACGUUUGCGACUGUCGCGGGGUAUCCCCUCGCGUUGCGCUAUUA
Molecule: non-coding RNA, 164 nt
Filed under: bovine gut metagenome
Description: Lysine riboswitch
Rfam family: Lysine riboswitch aptamer
About the family: Riboswitches are metabolite binding domains within certain messenger RNAs that serve as precision sensors for their corresponding targets. Allosteric rearrangement of mRNA structure is mediated by ligand binding, and this results in modulation of gene expression.
Source: RNAcentral